AAAGGAAUUGACGGGGACUCGCACAAGCGGUGGAGCAUGUGGUUUAAUUCGACGAUAAGCGAAGAACCUUACCAGGGUUUGACAUCUAAGGAACCCGGCAGAAACGUUGGGGUGCCCGCAAGGGAACCUUAAGACAGGUGCUGCACGGUUGUCGUCAGCUCGUGUCGUGAGAUGUGGCCUUAAGUGGUCAAACGAGCGAAACCUGUAUCCUGUGUUGAUUUUCACGGGAGACUGCCCCGGUUUACGGGGAGGAAGGCGCAGACGACGUCAAAUCAGCGUGGCUCUUACACCCUGGGCUACACACGUGCUACAAUGGCAGAUUAUAAAAUGUUGCAAAGCCGCAAGGCCAAGCUAAUCACCAAAAACCUGCCUCAGUACGGAUUGAGGGCUGCAAUUCGCCCUCAUGAAGCUGGAAUCGCUAGUAAUCGUGGGUCAGCUAUACCACGGUGAAUACGUUCUCGAGUCUUGUACACACCGCCCGU
Molecule: ribosomal RNA, 482 nt
Filed under: uncultured bacterium
Lineage: Bacteria
Description: bacterial SSU rRNA
Rfam family: Bacterial small subunit ribosomal RNA
Source: RNAcentral